AGGACCCGGAUGAGAGCGCACGCUUCGGGGUCUCCGGGAAGUCGCGGCGCCUUCGGAUGUGGCGGAUGCGGCCGUGAGCCGGCGGGGGAGUUCCUCCAGAUCCAGCUGUGCCCUCGCCUGACGUUUGAACGACCACCUGCUCACCUCCUCCCUUUUGCGCGUUGAUUCUUCAGACUUCAAAGGGCCCACCUGUGCUGCUGCUGCCUCCACUGUACUCAGACCCAGGUAGCACAGGAUUGUCCAUCCUCCAGCAGCUCAGUGCAACGGUGUGAACUCCGCCUGUUUCAGAGCCUCCACACCAUGGCUGGAGUGCAAUGGCGCAAUCUCAGCUCACCACAACCUCCGCCUCCCAGGUUCAAGCAAUUCUCCUGCCUCAGCCUCCCGAGUAGCUGGAAUUACGGACCUCCAAGAAGCUGGUGAACUCGGUGGCUGGCUGUGCUGAUGACGCUCUUGCUGGCCUGGUGGCCUGCAACCCCAACCUGCAGCUCUUGCAGGGCCACCGCGUGGCCCUCCGUUCUGACCUGGACAGCCUCAAGGGCCGGGUGGCACUG
This 551-nucleotide small RNA is filed under the name Pan troglodytes (chimpanzee). RNAcentral's name for it is "processed transcript". The record is from RNAcentral. Lineage: Eukaryota; Metazoa; Chordata; Mammalia; Primates; Hominidae.